This 2966-nucleotide long non-coding RNA is filed under the name Mus pahari (shrew mouse). RNAcentral's name for it is "predicted gene 12128 (MGP_PahariEiJ_G0004585.1)". The record is from RNAcentral. Lineage: Eukaryota; Metazoa; Chordata; Mammalia; Rodentia; Muridae.
GAUUAGCAGAGGAGUAAGAGAUUGGUGCUGCAGGGCCUGAAUGUGCAAGAAGCUGGAUUUACUGUGCUAUGACAGGAAUACAUGGGACACAGUGCAAUGCUCAUGAUAACUCCAUCUAUGUAAUUGCCAAGAGGCAAGAAGGCCAGGAACCUUGGGAAGAACUCAGUGGAACCUGGGACCAUGGUGCAGCAUCCUGAUGGGAGCCAUAGACCCCAAGCAUCUCAGGCUAUGGAGAAUGUAGCAGCGAUGGUAAGCUCAGCACUCUCUACUCCAGCCACAUCAAGAAGCUUCAUAGCUAGACUCAGCAAAUCUGUACAGAAUCCGGUGGAAUAGCCUGAAAGAGUAACACAGUAGGAUAAUAACUGUCAUUACUCUUUACCACAGCCUCCUGAAAAAGCUCUCUGAAGAUGGACUGUGCUUUUUGUUCAUUGAGUUUUCAGAAUGAGUAACUUUGGCAUGCACUGAAUAUAUGACUCAUUUUCUACCUCCUUUUAGUAUAUUUUCACUUCUAUUUGAAACAGCUUCCCACUAAUAUGCCAGGCUGACACUGAACUUGCUCUGUAACCCAGACAGCCUUUGAACUUGUGAUCCUCUUGCGUCAAACUCCUGAAUAGCUACAAUUACAGGCAGGAACACACUGAUCUGGCUUCUUAAAUCAUGUCUAGUGGAUUGGGUUAAGUAAUUAAUUAAGGGAAAAUAUAAAAAUGAAUAAAAUGUGAAGGUAAUAGUGUAAGAUGUGAUUAUAUCAAUUAAUCAAUGCUUUUAAAGCAAACACAAUAACUAUAAAUGGGACUUAAAUUAGCAGUUAAAAUACAGAGAAUUUCAAAAUGAGCCAACACAAAUUAUUAACUCUAUGUAUUAAUGAAUUAUAUGAGCUAAUUAGGAAUGUGGAACAACUUUAGGAAAUAUGUGAAGAUUUAAUAUACAAUGCUAGUCAAAAUAAAGUAUAACUGUAUUACAACAACAAAUAUUAUGGUUAAAAUAUUCUUGUACAUAUCAUUACACUUUAAUUAUUUUUAAAUGUACCAAUUCAUAAAUUGGUUUAAAAUAGAACUUGUAUAAAUCCAGCAAUAAUUUUAAAACACAAACAAAAAUAAAAUUUGACAGAUCCACAUUUAUUCUCGGAUAUAUAAAUACAUUCCUACUAUGAAUUUAUUUCUUAAUCAGAGAAAUAACAAAAGAAAACAAACAAAGAAACAAAGAAACAAAGACAAAGUAGGACAAGAAAAAUUUGAGUUUUCUAUUUACCUAGCUAAUUCUAUGACAUGAAAACUCUAUUAAGAAAAAAAUAGACAUAUGGACAUCAUUACAUUAAAGGUAUUCUAUAAUUUUCUGUAAUUCUAUGAAAUCAAGACCAGAUUUCUGACAGAUUUGAAAGUUUUAAUACACAUUGUAAAAUAUAUCAUGGUAAUGUGAAAAAUCAAAACAAAAUUGUAGCACAUUCAGAAAUAAAGAAUGCUGCUGAAGUCAUAUAGAAAUAAAAGGCCGAAACUUAAUGUCAUAUGAUGAAAGAGGAAAGGGAGAAAGACCAUGUAAGCUUUUCUCUAACACUGGAAGUUGGUGAACACAUACCAGAAUGAGUUCAAAGCAAAUCAGAAGACAAUCAUAAAAAACUAAUUAAAAGUAUGAAAGGUAAGAGAAUGCUAGGUAAAGAAUAAUCAGCUAAAGAAUAAGUUUCUCCUACAUCCCCCAUGCCUGCAUUUUGUGUAGGCAGGAUAAAUUUUGGGUCAAACAUUUUUUUGGGGGUGGGUUGUUGUCUCCUUCGCUCUUCUGGAGUUCCUACCUGGCUAUAGGAGGUGGCAUCUUCUGGUUUUGUAUCGCCAAUGCUAUGAGUCACAACUAAGGUCACCCCCAUUGAUUUUUGGGCACCUCCCUUAAAUUUAUCCUGUCAAUAAGAAAUGCAGGGAGAGGGGAUGGAGCAGAGACUGAGGGAAUGGUCAAGUAAUAACCAGCCCAACUUGAGAUCCAUCCCAUGGGCAAGAUCCAAUCCCUGACACUAUUAAUGAUACUCUGUUAUGCUUGCAGACAGGAGCCUGGGAUGGCUGUCCUCUGAGAGGUUCCACCCAGCAGCUGCCUCAGAUGAAUAUAGACACUCACAGUCAAACACUGGAUGGAGCUUGGGGAUUCUUAUGGAAGAACAGGAAAAAGCAUUGAGACACUAGGAACUCUACAGGAAGACCAAAAGAGUCAAUUAACCUGGAUCCUUGGCGCUCUCAAAGACUGACCCACCCAACAAAAUCCAUGUCUUUAAUACUGUGCCUUGCCUAACUGGAAUACGACUCAAGCUUCAGUCCAUUGUCGUCUCCUUUUACCAUCGAUAAGCAUGCUCACGUCUCGGUUUCUUUAUCCUAAAGUUUGGCAUAACAAAAUUCUAUCUGAAAUUAUGAAAUACAUUAUAUGGGAUCAAGUACUCAAAGAUAAAGUCUUAUUCAGUAGAUGAAAGAACGCCUAGAGGUGAAAACUGCUCUCCAGGUAUUGCCCUGACAACAGAUCAAGGAAACAGUUUCACCCAAGUCUAGUGUGAUAAGCCAAUAAGGCUGUUGAGGUUACUCCGAAGAACAUGGGUGACCCAGAGGCAGCUGAAUCACUGAAGAGCCCACCCCAACAUGGGUGAUGGCUCAAGGGAGCUACAUCUUGGAUCCCCACACAGCUUCAUAGAAUUCUACAAAAAUGUCUUUUCUCUCCUAGCAACUGUAUUCUACUUACAUAACUUAAAGGACAGACUUCCUGAGUCCUGUAACACUUUGAGCUUCCCAAGUCUCACAAAUGCUCUUAGUUUCCAUGCUGCUAGGGGCCGCUCUUCUUCCUCCCAGGAAGAAAUACUUAUUCAAGGGAAGCACCUACAACGGAGCAUAUAGGCUCAGCUUCCCAUUAACUCCAUGGAAUGGCAAUAGGAAUAACUAAAUGAUGACUGCAAGCUAUUUUGUAAUUACAAACUGCUAAAUAAUAAAGGUUGGCUAAUUAUC